UGUUGGGGUCGGGGACGGGCGUCUGGGUGGCGGAGAGACGGAAGGAAAGGCCCCGGGACUAUUAGAAGCAGAGGUGGGGAAGGGAGAAUGGCUUGCCUAGCGGUAGAUCUAGACCUGGACUUGGGAAUGGUGAAGUCCGAGCAGGUAACAUAAAUGGAAAUGUGGACUAUUGAAGAUUCUGUAAUCUUCAGUGUCUCGAAGCUCGCCAGAUUCGAGGAGCCGAUGGCCAAGGGAAUAGCACAGUGUAUCUGACCUGAUUGACGAUUUCUGUUCUAGAAGUACAAGUUUACAGACUCAUGUGUAUGAUAACCUAGCUCCUUGGAUAAUAGCAUACUACUAGUUACAAGUCUAACGUGCAGUUUGGGUCACCAUGGAGCUACAGUGUGAAACACUGCAAAGUAAUAAAAGGUACAAACAGUAGGAGCCCUCUGAAAUUUAACAUUGAUAGCACUUGUAUGGGUUUUUGUUGAACCAGUGGACAAAGACUUAACAAUAGGUGCAAGAACAAAUCCUCUUUUGCAACCCAGAACUCAUUGUUGUAUGAGUUUUUGGUACAUGUAAGAAGGAAUAUCACGGGGUUGGGGAUUUAGCUCAGUGGUAGAGCGCUUACCUAGGAAGCGCAAGGCCCUGGGUUUGGUCCCCAGCUCCGGAAAAAAAAAGAACCAAAAAAAAAAAAAAAAAAGUCUGGAAGUCGCCCGUUAGGAGGAUAAUUUCCAGAGUUUAAUAAUGCCACUAGGAGGGUUGGGGAUUUAGCUCAGUGGUAGAGCCCUUGCCUAGCAAGCGCAAGGCCCUGGGUUUGGUCCCCAGCUCUGAAAAAAAGAAAAAAAUAAUGCCACUAGGAGCCUCCUGCUUAGCUCUAAUCCAAGUCAGGCAAAAGGACAUAGUUGGGGGCUGGAGAGAUGGCUCAGUGGUUAAGAGCACUGACUGCUCUUCCAGAGGUCCUGAGUUCAAUUCCCAGCACCCACAUGGUUUCUCACAACCAUCUGUAAUGAGAUCUGGUGCCCUCUUCUGGUGUGUCUGAAGACAACUACAAUGUACUUAUAAUAAAUCUAUUUUUUUUUUUUAAAAAAGGACAUAGUUGGGCUGUCUGAAGUUUUUCGAUUCUGUACAAGACCCUUACUGGUGUCAUUCAGGCAGUCACUAGACUUGCUCUCCCUUGGGUCCACUCUGUAAAAUGGGGACUUUUUUUGUUCUAGUGGGUUAUGUGAGAACAAAUCUGAAAGACUGGCUUAAAUUCUAUUACUCUCAAAGGGUAAGAACCUUUGCAGAGUGAAAAUUACCAGAUUUAUUUUGUAUUCCAUAUACCAAAGAUAUUUUGUAUAACAAAAUAGGUAUUUUGUUUUUUGGUAUCAGUUUAUUUGAUUUGUGUGAAUACCCUGUGUUGUGAAUUGCCCUAAUGGUCCUGAUGGCUCCAGGCCUGGCACUCAAUGGAGCCUCUGGAUAGAUUGGUCCUAGACGCUGGACAUAAUUUGAUCCAAAGUAAUCUGGACUAGGAUGUGUGCUAAUGAAGGCUCAGGGGAGGAUGGAGUUGGCUGCUGUGAGAACAGUGGACUGACUUCCUUUUUGGGGCACUUCAUAAUUUCCUGUCACUCCAUAAUCACAGCUCCCGAGGUG
Molecule: long non-coding RNA, 1614 nt
Filed under: Rattus norvegicus (Norway rat)
Lineage: Eukaryota; Metazoa; Chordata; Mammalia; Rodentia; Muridae
Description: long non-coding RNA NONRATT002459
Rfam family: Small nucleolar RNA SNORA40 (bases 447-572)
Source: RNAcentral